UUCUUUCCCAAAAUCAAAACCUCUUCACCUAAUUGCCACCAGCACCAUUGGCAGCAACCCCUAUGCACCCAACGCCAACACCACCAGCCCCCGAAUUCAAGUUCAAAUCCGAACACGUCGGUUUCCCUUAGCCAUUUUGGAACCUUUGAAUGUUAUUGAAUCUUGGCCCGAAGAAAAGAUUAUCCACUCCAUUUGACGGCUCCUCCCCUUCCCUUGCUCUCAACUUUCGUUGCUACUCUUCUAAUUCCAAUUCGCCUCUUAUUUCUCCAUUAUUCUCUUUUUCUCCAUCAAAGUUCAACACCACAACUUAUAAACUCCAAAAGAAUGGUGGCGGAGGUGGUGGGGAUGGCGUUGAUUGUUUUGAAGAGAAUAAGAGAGUGAGUGGUUACAAUUAAUGAAAAUGAAAGCUAGGUUUGAUUUCAUCCACGUAAUUUAGCAAGAUUACAGUGAUGAGAAGGUCGAAUUUUAAUGACAUUUGUCCAAUAUUCACUUGUGUAUAUAUGUAGCUUCAACAAGUAGCAACCCAGAUACCAAUACCGACAACCUAUCAGCAAUAGUUGACCUCCUGCUUUCAAUUGCAAGCCAUUUUUCUUCCCACAAUUGUUUGUUCGACGGAGCGCAAGGAGCGAUAGCAACAGAAAACGACCGUUCCCUUAAAAAAUGUUUUCCUUGUUGAAGGAAAAUAUGACUUGACCAAAAGUUGAAAAAUAUUUUUCAUGAAAUAAAUUAUCAAUCAAAUACCCAAAAUUAGAAAUCUAAGUAAAAAAUUAACAAUUUUCAUGAAAAAUAAUGUCAAUCAAACACUCUCUUACGAAUCAACUUUGUUUAAACUUGAGCGCCAUUUAUGGAUUGAUACUAUUCCGUUAACAUUGAAUGAUGUAUAAUAUGAUCACUCCAAUUAGCUUAAUUAAAGUAGUUUUAGGGCUAGGCUCUUUAAAUAAAAUGGCAAAUGAAAUGUAAUUCAAUAUUUUAAAUAUCAUUAGAAUUCAGAGGUUCAAUGAUGAGUAAUCAGAGAAAAAUUUGUGAAGAAUGAAUUCAGUAUAAAAGGGUGGUGGGGAGUGGGGGACAUUUACACAAAUAUAUUAAUGCCUCGUUUGGUACAUAUUAAUGUAAAAAUAAGAAUGAAAAUUAUAGUCCUUACGGGCCCCACACUUGAGAUAAAAAGUCAAAUAUGGUAGCUUGAUUUGAUGAAUAACGAUCAUAUUUUUUAUUUUAAUAAACAAAUAAUGAGAAAUAAACGGGGGCUAAAUAAUAAUUAAAACACAUAUUAAUUACGAUUUUAAGGUUCAUAAGGUAGGGGUUAUAGAACCUUCAACCUAUCAGCAACGCUGUCUUUAAGCCCCUGUUUGGCCCUCAUUAAAUUAAAUUACAUUAUAUUCCAUUUUUCUCUAUCAUAUUUUCAACCACACAAUCUUCCAUAAAAUAAUAUUACACGUAAAUCGAAAACUUUUCAUUCUUUUUCAACUAUUCAUUUUUCAAAAAAAUACUAUUCCACCCAUUUUCAUUUUCAGAAAAUGAGGGCCAAACGGGGGCUAAAUCUCCCAUCAAAUCCAAAAUUAAUUCAAUUCAAGCAGGUUCUUCUUCAAUUUGGAAGUUGCAUAUUUCACUUUCAUGUAUAAUAAAAAUUUAUUUUUUCUUUAUGAUUUUUAUUUACCAGAUUUUAAGUUUUCAAAUGCAAUUUUUCCAGAUUUCAUCUCCUAUUCCAAUUUCAUUCUCCUCUCGCAAUUACAAGCCAUCUUUUCAAGUAAAUUAUCAACACAAUUUACUUUGCUAAAAUUUGUUGUAAUUUUAUUACAUAUUUGAGAAUUUUGAGGUUUUAAAUUGUAUUAAUAUAUAGGAAAAAUUACAAUCACGGUACCAAAUUUUUCAUUGAGUAGCAAAUUUUGUCCAAACCUUUCAUUUGUGCUAGUACCGAAGCUUUAAAAAAUUCACACCUUCAGCAAAUUGACCACCAAAAUUAUCAAUUGACUCCCAAAAAAAAUAAAAAUAAAUAAAUAAUAAAAAAUUAAUUAUUUUCCCCAAACAAGAUAGGAGUAUUUUGGACAAACCACAUUUCUCCUAUUAAGUUAAAAAUUAAAAACAAAAAAUAAAAUCACAACCCACCCUCAUCUCCUUCUUUCCCAAAAUCAAAGCCUCCUCACCCAAUUGCCACCAGCACCAUUGGCAGCAACCACUAUGCACCCAACGCCAACACCACCAGCCCCCGAAUUCAAGUUCAAAUCCGAACACCUCGGUUUCGCUUAGCCAUUUUGGAACCUUUGAAUGUUAUUGAAUCUUGGCCAGAAGAAAAGAUUAUCCACUCCAUUUGACGCCUCCUCCCCUUCCCUUGCUCUCAACUUUCGUUGCUACUCUUCUAAUUCCAAUUCACCUCUUAUUUCUCCAUUAUUCUCUUUUUCUCCAUCAAAGUUCGACACCACAACUUAUGAACUCCAAAAGAAUGGUGGCAGAGGUGGUGGGGAUGGUGUUGAUUCUUUUGAAGAGAAUAAGAGAGUGAGUGGUUACAAUUAAUGAAAAUGAAAGCUAGGUUUGAUUUCAUCCACGUAAUUUAGCAAGAUUACAGUGAUGAGAAGGUCGAAUUUUAAUGACAUUUUUCCAAUAUUCACUUGUGUAUAUAUGUAGCUUCAACAAGUUGCAACCCAGAUACCAAUACCGACAACCUAUCAGCAACAGUUGACCUCCUGCUUUCAAUUGCAAGCCAUUUUUCUUCCCACAAUUGUUUGUUCGACGGAGCGCAAGGAGCGAUAGCAACAGUGGUGGUGGAGCCAGAUCGAACAAUGGAAAAGGCGUCAUUAAUUGUUGUUUUCAAUUCUAUAAAAUUCCUUUCAAAAUCUUGUUCACAAAAUGGAAUUCCCAAUUAGUUGAAUUAUGUUGAUAUCUUUCUGGGAAUUCCUCUAUUGAUUUUUAUGAAUUAGUUGUGGGUCGGUUUGUGGUAGAAAAGACUUGGGGUCUGUGACGAUGGUUGUGUUAGUGGGGUCCCUAUUUCUUUUUUCUCUACAGCAACGACUUGGGAUGGCUAUCAGUGGUGGCGAUUGGGUGUAGUUGUUUUGGUUUUGGGGUUAGGGGUCGGGGAAGAAGGAGAUGGAGAUGGGUUGUGGUUUUAUUUUAUUUUUUAAAAUUUUUGGUUUCAUAGGAAAAAUGUAUUUUAUCUAAAACGUCACUGCUUUAUUUUAGGAAAAUACAUAAGUUUUUUAUUUUGGGAGUUUAACUGACCAUUUUCGUAGUCAAAUUGGCG
This 3232-nucleotide long non-coding RNA is filed under the name Olea europaea (common olive). Its description in RNAcentral is "long non-coding RNA (OEUR_LNC005214)". The record is from RNAcentral. Lineage: Eukaryota; Viridiplantae; Streptophyta; Magnoliopsida; Lamiales; Oleaceae.